UUACAUGCCUUGGCUUAUAAGCCAACUCACGCACGCUGGCCUCGGGCCCACCUUACAGAAGUUCAAUCAGACACCAUAUGUAAAGGAAAUACGAAUACGUAAAGUAGGCAAACUGUCUUCAAACAUCAGCCGUGACAUCCUCCCCUCCUAGCGCUCCCUCCCAGAAAGUCAAGCGCCGCGGCUGUUCAUGUUCGGGGUCGACGGCGACGUGUGGUGGGCGCCGCGCCUGCUCCGGCCGUGCACGCGCUCGACGUGGCCGCGCACGCAUUGGUGGCGCCCCCAACGCUUGGAGAAGCGGCGUAGGAACUGGGGAUCGACCCCGCGAGGACGUGGCGCGGGGAAGGGAGGCCUUCCUCUCCCGGGUCCGCGCGCUCACUGCCGUGCUCGGUACCCGCCUCGAUUGGAUCCACCGAAAAGGCCACCACAGGCAAGCUCCCUCCCGGCGAAGGCGGCGCGGCCCCCCUGCGGCACGAGCGCGGCAGCUCCACCACGCAUAGACGCGGCGCGGCCCGGGGGGAAGGCGGUGUGGCCCCCUGCCGCUCCACCACGUGCAGGCACCGGAGGCGCUGGCUUCAUCGGCUCCUGGCUCUCCUCGAGAGAGGCUACACCGUCCACGCCUCCCUCGGGAACACAGGAGACGAGGAGAAGGCGGGGAUGCUGCAGCAGCUGGUCCCCAGCACGACCGAACGGCUGCGGCUAUUCAAUGCCGCCACCUUCGCGUCGGUGAUCGUCGGGUGCCAGUUCGUCUUCCUCCUCGCCGCCCCAUUUGGGGUCCAAGCCACCCGCAACAAGGUUCGACGAAGCAGCAGUCAGCAAUAUAAAUUUGUCAACGCCAGGUAUUAUCCUGUCGAUCUGUAAAAUCGUCAACAAGUGGAUCAGUAAUGCUUCCUCUUGUUUUCCUCAUGCAAUUCACAAUAUAUUUGAUUUCCUUUUUAUUUAGAGAUUAGAGAUUUUAGCUUAGGUUCUGAAUUAUCCUAUGUUUGUAGGCACGACUGUUCUUGUUCUAUGGAAUGGACAAUUCGUGUGAAUUAUAAACAGAUAGUACUAGGUGAUGUAUAUUGUCUUAUUGGUGAGGACGAAAAUACAAGUAUGGUUAUUAU
Panicum virgatum (switchgrass) is the source of this 1100-nucleotide long non-coding RNA. RefSeq lists it as uncharacterized. The transcript is spliced from 3 exons. Lineage: Eukaryota; Viridiplantae; Streptophyta; Magnoliopsida; Poales; Poaceae. The record is from RefSeq and is a predicted model, not a curated record.